Molecule: ribosomal RNA, 856 nt
Filed under: Parmelia discordans
Lineage: Eukaryota; Fungi; Ascomycota; Lecanoromycetes; Lecanorales; Parmeliaceae
Description: eukaryotic LSU rRNA
Rfam family: Eukaryotic large subunit ribosomal RNA
Source: RNAcentral
GGGAUUGCCUCAGUAACGGCGAGUGAAGCGGCAUCAGCUCAAAUUUGAAAUCUGGCUCCUUUGGGGUCCGAGUUGUAAUUUGUAGAGAGUGCUUCGGGGGAGAGUGCGGUCUAAGUCCGUUGGAACACGGCGUCAUAGAGGGUGAGAAUCCCGUAUGCGACCGCGGCUCGAGCCCGUGUGAAGCCUCUUCGACGAGUCGAGUUGUUUGGGAAUGCAGCUCAAAAUGGGUGGUAAAUUUCAUCUAAAGCUAAAUACUGGCUGGAGACCGAUAGCGCACAAGUAGAGUGAUCGAAAGAUGAAAAGCACUUUGGAAAGAGAGUUAAACAGUACGUGAAAUUGUUGAAAGGGAAGCGCUGGCAACCAGACCUGUCCGUAGGUGAUCAGCCGCUGUUCUCAGUGGUGCACUCGCUCUGCGAUCAGGCCAGCAUCGGUUCUGGCGGUCGGAUAAAGGCCUUGGGAAUGUAGCUUCCUUUUGGGGGAGUCUUAUAGCCCUCGGUGCAAUGCGGCCAGCCGGGACCGAGGACCGCGCUUCGGCUAGGAUGCUGGCGUAAUGGUUGUCAGCGACCCGUCUUGAAACACGGACCAAGGAGUCUAACAUCUAUGCGAGUGUUUGGGUGUUAAACCCAUGCGCGGAAUGAAAGUGAAUGGAGGUGAGACCCCUUAAGGGCGCAUCAUCGACCGAUCCAGAUGUCUUCGGAUGGAUUUGAGUAUGAGCAUAGCUGUUGGGACCCGAAAGAUGGUGAACUAUGCCUGAAUAGGGUGAAGCCAGAGGAAACUCUGGUGGAGGCUCGCAGCGGUUCUGACGUGCAAAUCGAUCGUCAAAUUUGGGUAUAGGGGCGAAAGACUAAUCGAACCA